GUGGGGAAUCUUCCGCAAUGGACGAAAGUCUGACGGAGCGACGCCGCGUGAGUGAAGAAGGCCUUCGGGUCGUAAAGCUCUGUCAUCAGGGACGAACGGCCGGUGGAGUGGAAAGCCACCGGAUUGACGGUACCUGAGAAGGAAGCCACGGCUAACUACGUGCCAGCAGCCGCGGUAAUACGUAGGUGGCAAGCGUUGUCCGGAAUUAUUGGGCGUAAAGCGCGCGCAGGUGGGAUCUUAAGUCCAUUUUUAAAGUUCGGAGCUCAACUCCGUGAUGGGAUUGAAACUUGGAUUCGUGAGUAGCGGAGAGGAAAGCGGAAUUCCCCGUGUAGCGGUGAAAUGCGUAGAUAUGGGGAGGAACACCAGUGGCGAAGGCGGCUUUCUGGACGGUGUCUGACACUGAGGCGCGAAAGCCAGGGGAGCGAACGGGAUUAGAAACCCUUGUAGUCC
This 450-nucleotide ribosomal RNA is filed under the name uncultured bacterium. Its description in RNAcentral is "partial 16S ribosomal RNA". It matches the Rfam family "Bacterial small subunit ribosomal RNA", at positions 354 to 796 of the family's 1533-position model. The record is from RNAcentral.